Molecule: long non-coding RNA, 546 nt
Filed under: Cyanistes caeruleus (blue tit)
Lineage: Eukaryota; Metazoa; Chordata; Aves; Passeriformes; Paridae
Description: lncRNA (ENSCCEG00000001924.1)
Source: RNAcentral
ACACCUCACCACCAUUAAUGAACAAAGAGUCCAAGAAAGGAAAAAAAUUACACUUAAGGAUCAACUCCUGAGAGUACAGCUAUUUAAAUACACUGCUGAAAUCAACUAAAAUUGUACAAAAUUAAUGUUUCUUUUUUGCUUCUCUCUCACUGAGAUGAAGCCUUCCCUUGUGUACAAAAGGAGAAGAUAUUAAUUUUUGGAUGGUGCCGUAUUUAAGAACAGAAUUCAGAAGGUGCAUUAACGUCAGAAAUUCACCAAGAGUUUUGUUUAGAAGGUCCCCUCUAACAGGGUGGGUAAAGUCUGAAAUUGAACCUGGCUGAAGUUGAAAUCAGAGCCUGUGAGUAUCCUGGGGAACACUUUCCCCUUGAUAUGUGUUUCUACUAGUUAUGUCUACUCUGAUAUAAAGAUCCAGACCAGGAACAUGGCCUAAGGACAAUUUCCUGACCAUUCACAGACCUUUAGUCAAAAGCCUGCUCCCCUGCAGAGCUUUGGGUUGUGCCAAAUGUCAGUGUCUAAAAGAUUCCAGGUUUUGGGCUGGGGGACAGC